GCCGGGCAUGGUGGUGCGUGCCUGUAAUCCCAGCUACUUGGGAGGCUGAGACAGGAGAAUUGCUUGAACCCAGGAGGCGGAGGUUGCAGUGAGCUGAGAUCAUGCCAUUGCACUCCAGCCUGGGUGACAGAGCGAGACUCCAUCUCAA
This 148-nucleotide non-coding RNA is filed under the name Gorilla gorilla gorilla (western lowland gorilla). Lineage: Eukaryota; Metazoa; Chordata; Mammalia; Primates; Hominidae. The record is from Rfam by way of RNAcentral.